AUUGAACGCUGGCGGCAUGCUUUACACAUGCAAGUCGAACGGCAGCACGGGCUUCGGCCUGGUGGCGAGUGGCGAACGGGUGAGUAAUAUAUCGGAACGUACCCAGAAGUGGGGGAUAACGUAGCGAAAGUUACGCUAAUACCGCAUACGAUCUAUGGAUGAAAGCAGGGGACCGCAAGGCCUUGUGCUCCUGGAGCGGCCGAUAUCUGAUUAGCUAGUUGGUGAGGUAAAGGCUCACCAAGGCGACGAUCAGUAGCUGGUCUGAGAGGACGACCAGCCACCCUGGAACUGAGACACGGUCCAGACUCCUACGGGAGGCAGCAGUGGGGAAUUUUGGACAAUGGGCGCAAGCCUGAUCCAGCAAUGCCGCGUGAGUGAAGAAGGCCUUCGGGUUGUAAAGCUCUUUUGUCAGGGAAGAAACGGUAGAGGCUAAUAUCCUUUGCUAAUGACGGUACCUGAAGAAUAAGCACCGGCUAACUACGUG
This 484-nucleotide ribosomal RNA is filed under the name uncultured bacterium. RNAcentral describes it as "partial 16S ribosomal RNA". It matches the Rfam family "Bacterial small subunit ribosomal RNA", at positions 30 to 507 of the family's 1533-position model. The record is from RNAcentral.